GGGGCCGUAGCUCAGUUGGGAGAGCGUCGCGUUCGCAACGCGAAGGUCAGGGGUUCGAUUCCCCUCGGCUCCACCA
RNAcentral lists this transfer RNA (76 nucleotides) under Alphaproteobacteria bacterium. Its description in RNAcentral is "tRNA-Ala". It matches the Rfam family "tRNA". From Rfam's summary of the family: Transfer RNA (tRNA) molecules are approximately 80 nucleotides in length. Their secondary structure includes four short double-helical elements and three loops (D, anti-codon, and T loops). RNAcentral also lists the same sequence under 2 other names. The record is from RNAcentral. Lineage: Bacteria; Pseudomonadati; Pseudomonadota; Alphaproteobacteria.